AUACACAGGGAGAGAAACAGUGGAACUCCCCCAAACUUGAGAUCAAGAAUCAAGCAGAGGAUGAGACAGACAGUGGAGUCUUCUGUGGUUCUGACUCUUGAGCCAGGAUUAUUGCCAGAGAAGGAAAAUUCAAGCAGCUUCAUUUCCUAUGUUGCCAACAAUGAUCUACAUCAAAAUAUCAACUCUUGCCCUACCCUGUGCCUGAAAACCAAAUGUUUUCUUUCUCUUCGGAUUUAGCCUAUCUGGGUCCUCUAACCAGUGUAAAUAGAGCAGAAGAAGAAGAGGAAAGUUUUGAAAUGUGCUCCAUUUUUAUAAUCACAGAAGAGAACUGCCUAAGAGAGAAGGAAAGUUUCAGCAGUUGGAGUGUGAGUGUCCUUGUCCUUUAAAUCCAGGUGAAGGCUUACUGGAAUAUGUGCCCUUUUUUCCUAAGAGGAAGGGCUUAAGAGGGACUCUUGGGAACCUCUGAGAGCAUCACCACUUCUCACAGCUUCCACUGAUUUCAUUGGCGUCAGUCCUCAGCUGUGGCCAGUAAAGGGUGUUAACUGCAAAGAAGCUGCUUGCAACUCCCUGAUCUUGAAGCCAGCCUUGUCUUUUCAGCCAUGAUGUAAUUGUAAAGAAGUGCUGAGCUGAGUAUGGCCACAAGAAGCCUGGGCACCUGCCAGGGAACCUCUGGAGCUCAGUGCACUCUUGCCAUCCUCCACCCUCUCCCAUCCCUGGCCCCUCUUCUAUCCUGAGAGCCUGGUGGGGUUGCUGUAGUUGAGGGGUAUGCUAGCUCUGCACCACCCAGGGAUUCCACAUGCAAGGAGAAUCCCCAGCUGUAACGAUAACCAGGACUGGGGCAGGGAUCAGCACUGAGCCUGAUAUUUACAAACAAUAUAACAGAAGCUUCUAAUGUUUUAAGGCCUCUUAAUUUUAGCCAGAGGAAGAAAGGAAUUAAAGGACCCUACAGAGUCGCUGGCUUGUUUCCUUUUUUGAUUUUUUUGUUUUUAAUGAGCGAGCUUUUCCUGUCUGAAGUUUUGCUUGAAGUUUUAAAUGAAAUUCUAAUAGUAAAGGCCCAGAAUGUUUUUUUUUUAAGGCAAGCAGCGUCCCUUGACCUAUGUUUUUAAGCGUCUGUAGCCCUACAUAAAUUCAGAUAAAACUAGGUUUCUUCUAGUCUCCAGCUGUAAACCAUACCAGUUAGACCUGGAAGGAAGAAGACAAGGAAGAGGCACCCUGCCCCUGCUUUUUCCUUCAGAAAGCUAUUUUUAAAGAUCCUCAGUUCAGAGUUUAAGCAGAUUUGGACUCCAUGGUGAAUUAAGGUUUGCUACAAAUGGGCCACAACUAACUCUCACUCUUUCCCUUUACACUAUGGGUUUCAUCUUUUCUUAGGUUAAAAAAAAAAAAGAUAGAGAUGAAACUGAACAGCAAAGUAUGGCUACAAACUCCCUCAAAGUUUGAGGCGGAUUAGGGUUGGAGCUGUGUCUAGCACAUACACAUAUGUGAAAUAUAUAUAGGCAUUCCUGGCUUAAAGAGAAAAAGGAAUCAAACUUUGAUGGAUAGGAGAAGUGUAGGUACUGCCUGGGAAGUUUUCUCUUUCAAUUAAGGAAAAUCCUAUAGAAUUUAAUAGAAAAGUUUGAUCUUUCUAAAGAAUCUUUAAGCUAACUAUAGCAUGCUAGAGCAGGGAUACAAUUCUCUAUGAAUGUACAUGAGCUAGAUUCUCAGCAUAGGUCUAUUGACUUCAAUAGAAUUCGGCCAAUAUACAGUCACUGAGAGUCUGGCCCUUUAGGCUGGCAUAGAUAUUCUCUGGAAAGGACUUCCGUCUCUAUUAAAUUCUGUAGGUUUGGAGAGUGGAUAGAGAAGGAUAUCCUCAUCAGAAAUCCAGUAACCAAACCAAAUGCCUCCUCCUUCUCCCCAAACAUAUCUAAUCACAAGCUUUCUGAAGCAAAGCUCUUCCGUGACAGCCGCAGAGUCAGUGCACCGAAAAGCAGCUAUAGAAGCACCUUUGAAAUUGAGAGGCUGACAUUAUAGAUUGGUUUACAAUAAGAAAAUGAUUCUCAGUCAUUGUGUCCAGGCUUGUGCGGAUUGCUUGUAACCGUACCUUUUCAUUAUCCAUUGCAUUUAUCAGAUAGUGGGUAACGGUAUCUAGUUCUUUUUACUAUUCUAGGAACAAGUGGAAAUGCAGUUGAAAUGAUGGACAAAUGGCAUACCAGAGCAGGAUGGGUACUGUAAACUAGAGAUAGUUUUGAUCUAGUUAUUCAUCUCCUUUGGCAGAUUACUUGAAAACAAGUAAGCUAACAGCACAUUCCAGGCAGCAUAGUAUCAUAGCAGCACAGGAGCAGAGAGUUCACUGCAGGUUGCAGAUUGAUGACUGGGGAAAGGGAGAAGAACAAAUGUGUAUCACACACAUGAUUGACAGAGCAGAAAUACAGUCCUAAGGCAAAGCUUUCAGAAAAGACCAAGUAAGUCAGUGCAGUGUAAUCUGAGCAUAGCAUAUGCUGAUGUCCUUUGGAUAUACACAGGUGACAGAUGUCUUUUGUCCAGGUCAGGCAAAUACCCCUAGUGCAAGAACAAGGGAGUCAGAGAGAAAAUGAAUGGAGAAAUUUAGUUAGGUCUAGAGCAGAAGCAAUAAGUUUUUUUCAAACUGUCUUUUGUGCCACAGCUUCUGACCUAAAAAUAUGUAUGGAUAACUUCAUAUCUUAAGUAUUCCUUAAUACUUCCCUUUGGUUACUGUAGGAAUUACCUUGUAUAUUGCAAAUAUUUUAUUAUUUAGCUGCGAUUUUUAUUUUGUUAUCUAAAUGACAAUUCCUUGUAAACAUCCACAAAGUUACCUACUUAUCCAACUUCAAAUCCCUCCUUAAAACUCUCCUUUGUCAUAAUGCCUACAAAAAACUUGACAAGUUAGGUUGCUGGUGUGUUGAGUCUGACUGCCUCUCAUGCUGACCAAUACUGUCCCAUUGUUUCCUUGUACUCCAUUAGUCUGUCUCUAUCCUUCUAUUGUCUCUUGUCCUAUACUUACAUUGUAAACACCUCGAGGCAGGGACUGUUUUUUUGUUCUGUAUUUGUACAGCUCCUAGCAUAACAGGAGCCCCAGUCACUGACAAGGACUCCAGGCACUAUGGUAAUACAAAUAAUAAUAAAUCACUGCACACAAAGAUUGUGCAGAACAACAAAUGUUAACUAGGAAGAGACCUGAGCCAUAAAUGUCAGAUCCAAACUAUCCAGAAGUGCAGGACUGUGCAAACUGGAGGAUUUGUUUCAUGACCAUCCCUAUUAAAAACCUAAUAUUUUAUGAAAACAGGAAGUUCUGUAAAGCAGCCUCCCAUCUCCUGACCCAAAGGAGAAUGACCCAGAUCCUCAAAGGUAUUUAGGCACCUAUUUCCCAUUGAGGACCUGAGCUAAAGUGUUACAACCUGAUUCUCUUUAUACUUGCACUAGUUUUAUAUCACUGAUUUUACAAGAGUUACUCCAUUUUUACACUGGUGUGAGAAGAAAAGCAGGCCCCAUCUUUCAUAAAAUGCAGAGGCUUCUCAGCAGAAUGUAAACAAAAGACAAAACAAUGUAUUAACUAAAACUGGCUAAUACAAUAUUUGUAAUAAAUAAUAAAGAAGUUUAAAUGUC
This is a long non-coding RNA of Malaclemys terrapin pileata, 3597 nucleotides long. RefSeq lists it as uncharacterized. Lineage: Eukaryota; Metazoa; Chordata; Testudines; Emydidae. The record is from RefSeq and is a predicted model, not a curated record. The transcript is spliced from 3 exons.